Molecule: ribosomal RNA, 464 nt
Filed under: uncultured bacterium
Lineage: Bacteria
Description: partial 16S ribosomal RNA
Rfam family: Bacterial small subunit ribosomal RNA
Source: RNAcentral
CUACGGGACGCAGCAGUGAGGAAUUUUGCGCAAUGGGGGAAACCCUGACGCAGCAACGCCGUGUGAGUGAAGAAGGCCUUCGGGUCGUAAAGCUCUGUCAAGUGGGAAAAAAGUCUUUCGGUAAAUAGCCGGAAGGCCUGAUGGUACCACUAAAGGAAGCACCGGCUAACUCCGUGCCAGCAGCCGCGGUAAUACGGAGGGUGCUAGCGUUGUUCGGAAUUAUUGGGCGUAAAGAGCGUGUAGGCGGCUUGGUAAGUCAGAUGUGAAAGCCCUGGGCUCAACUCAGGAAGUGCAGUUGAUACUGCUUUGCUAGAGUAUGGGAGAGGAGAGUGGAAUUCCCAGUGUAGAGGUGAAAUUCGUAGAUAUUGGGAGGAACACCCGUGGCGAAGGCGACUCUCUGGACCAAUACUGACGCUGAGACGCGAAAGCGUGGGGAGCAAACAGGAUUAGAUACCCUCGUAGUC